Molecule: ribosomal RNA, 253 nt
Filed under: uncultured bacterium
Lineage: Bacteria
Description: partial 16S ribosomal RNA
Rfam family: Bacterial small subunit ribosomal RNA
Source: RNAcentral
GACAGAGGGUGCAAACGUUGUUCGGAUUUACUGGGCGUAAAGCGUGUGUAGGCGGCUUCGCAAGUUGGAUGUGAAAUCCCACGGCUCAACCGUGGACGUGCAUCCAAAACUGCGUCGCUAGAGUCUCGGAGAGGAAGGUGGAAUGCUUGGUGUAGAGGUGAAAUUCGUAGAUAUCCGGAGGAACACCAGCGGCGAAGGCGGCUUUCUGGUCCGAUACUGACGCUGAGACGCGAAAGCGUGGGGAGCGAUCCGG